Molecule: ribosomal RNA, 253 nt
Filed under: uncultured bacterium
Lineage: Bacteria
Description: partial 16S ribosomal RNA
Rfam family: Bacterial small subunit ribosomal RNA
Source: RNAcentral
UACGAAGGGGGCUAGCGUUGUUCGGAAUUACUGGGCGUAAAGCGCACGUAGGCGGAUUGUUAAGUCAGAGGUGAAAUCCCGGAGCUCAACUUCGGAACUGCCUUUGAUACUGGCAAUCUAGAGUCCGGAAGAGGUUAGUGGAAUUCCCAGUGUAGAGGUGAAAUUCGUAGAUAUUGGGAAGAACACCAGUGGCGAAGGCGGCGACCUGGUUCAAUACUGACGCUGAGGUGCGAAAGCGUGGGGAGCAAACAGG